Molecule: ribosomal RNA, 1518 nt
Filed under: human gut metagenome
Description: eukaryotic LSU rRNA
Rfam family: Eukaryotic large subunit ribosomal RNA
Source: RNAcentral
UCCGCUAAGGAGUGUGUAACAACUCACCUGCCGAAUGAAGUAGCCCUGAAAAUGGAUGGCGCUAAAGCGAAUAGCCUAACCAUAGCCAUUCGACUUAGUAGUGAAGUCGAAUGAGUAGGAAGGCGUGAUGGAUGUAGCGAAGGUUAGCGUGUGAACGCGAUUGGAACAUCCAUUAGUGCAGAUCUUGGUGGAAGUAGCAAAUAUUCAAAUGAGAUCUUUGAAGACUGAAGUGGAGAAAGGUUCCAUAGGAAUCGUGAUGAUCUAUGGGUUAGUCGAUCCUAAGAGAUAGGUGAAAUCCGUUGAAAGGGUGUUCUUGUAACGCCAUCUAUCGAAAGGGAAUCAGGUUAAUAUUCCUGAACCGUGUUAUUCAAAGUCGGUAACGAGUGUCAGAUUGAAGACAUUGAUGGUACUCCUGGGAAGAGUUGUCUUUUCUUGUUAACAAGUGGUUGUGCUUGGAAUAAACUCAGUUUGCGAGAAGCAUGACUGUUUGGUAAAGGUUCGCUUGGAGCGAACUCCGGUGCAGUAUCAUGAGUCCUUGAAAAUUGAAUCUGGCUAUGGAGUGACACGUUCGUACUAAUAACCGCAUCAGGUCUCCAAGGUGAAUAGCCUCUAGUUAAUAGAAUAAUGUAGAUAAGGGAAGUCGGCAAAUUAGAUCCGUAACUUCGGGAAAAGGAUUGGCUCUGAGGGCUAAGUAGUAUGGCAGUGAUGAGUUAACGGCUUGUCGUGUGGUUGUUCGUUGUGGCUUCGGCUGUGAUGAAUGGCUAUGUGAUGAAAAGAGCGCUCGUCGUUGUUGGCUACAAUGAAUAGCUGACUCAGAACUGGUACGGACAAGGGGAAUCCGACUGUUUAAUUAAAACAAAGCAUUGUGAUGGACUGAAAGAGUUGUUGACACAAUGUGAAUUCUGCCCAGUGCUCUGAAUGUCAAAGUGAAGGAAUUCAACCAAGCGCGGGUAAACGGCGGGAGUAACUAUGACUCUCUUAAGGUAGCCAAAUGCCUCGUCAUCUAAUUAGUGACGCGCAUGAAUGGAUUAAUGAGAUUCCCACUGUCCCUAUCUACUAUCUAGCGAAACCACAGCCAAGGGAACGGGCUUGGAAGUAUCAGCGGGGAAAGAAGACCCUGUUGAGCUUGACUCUAGUCUGACAUUGUGAAAUGACUUGAGAGGUGUAGCAUAGGUGGGAGAAGCAAUUCGAUCUUGAAAUACCACUACUCUUAAUGUUGUUUUACUUAUUCCAUGAGAUGGUGAGAGUCUAUGACUCUGUGAAGUGCAAAGUUCGUAAGAGCGAACCAAGUGGGAGACAUUGUUAGGUUGGGAGUUCGGCUGGGGCGGCACAUCUGUUAAAGAAUAACACAGGUGUCCUAAGAUGAGCUCAAUAAGAACAGAAAUCUUAUGUAGAACAAAAGGGUAAAAGCUCAUUUGAUUUUGCUUUUCAGUAUGAAUACAAACUACGAAAAUAUGGCCUAUCGAUCCUUUAGAUAUUUGAUGUUUUAAGCUAGAGGUGUCAGAAAAGUUACCACAG